Long non-coding RNA from Mirounga angustirostris (Northern elephant seal), 419 nucleotides. RefSeq lists it as uncharacterized. The record is from RefSeq and is a predicted model, not a curated record. NCBI's taxonomy places the organism in Eukaryota, Metazoa, Chordata, Mammalia, Carnivora, Phocidae. The transcript has 3 exons.
GAAGAAAUCCAUCUCCUGCUUUCACUUGCUCUCCACACCCCCUUAAGUGGGUGCUCCAGAAGAUGCAGAAGCAAGCCAGCCAAGGACACUUUGUUCUGAUGCUUCCUACCAACUGCACCUUCAUGCAAUACUCAUUAGUCACCCUGCCUUUGAACUCCUGUUUGGACGCAAGUAUGAGCACACUGAACCCGUCUCAUAUGCCUGAUGACCAUACCGGUGAUGCCUUCUGAGCGGUUGUCUCCUCCAGUGUGGUCAGAGGGAUGGUCCUGAGAAGUUUCUAUGGAAUCUGUCUGCUUUGGUCAAGAAAGGCUCCAAACACUGGCUCAACUGGUUUUUAUCUGUAGCAAGUAAUACUCUGAAAAUAGAAUGAGUACCAAUAAAAUGACACUGGAACAUUCAGACAGGCAACAAACUGCUUU